CACGUAGUUAGCCGUGGCUUGCUCCUUAGCUACCGUCAUUUUUCUUCACUAAGAACAGAAGUUUACAAUCCGAAAACCGUCUUCCUCCACGCGGCGUUGCUGCAUCAGGGUUUCCCCCAUUGUGCAAUAUUCCCCACUGCUGCCUCCCGUAGGAGUCUGGGCCGUGUCUCAGUCCCAAUGUGGCCGUUCAACCUCUCAGUCCGGCUAUGGAUCGUUGACUUGGUAGGCCGUUACCCCACCAACUAUCUAAUCCAACGCGAGCCCAUCCUUCGGCACCUCAGUUUUGGUAUUUCUAUCAUGCGGUAAAAAUACGUUAUGCGGUAUUACUGUCCGUUUCCAGACACUAUCCCCCUCCGAAGGGCAGGUUGCUCACGCGUUACUCACCCGUCCGCCACUCAGCCAUAUCAUUCUUCAUUCCGAAGAAAUCUGAAUUCAAGCUUCGUUCGACUUGCAUGUGUUAGGCACGCCGCCAGCGUUCGUCCUGAGCCAGGAUCAAAACUCU
This 502-nucleotide ribosomal RNA is filed under the name uncultured Oscillospiraceae bacterium. Its description in RNAcentral is "partial 16S ribosomal RNA". Lineage: Bacteria; Bacillati; Bacillota; Clostridia; Eubacteriales; Oscillospiraceae. The record is from RNAcentral.